UACGGAGGGUGCAAGCAUUAAUCGGAUUUAUUGGGCGUAAAGGGCGCGUAGGCGGGCCUGUAAGUCAGAUGUGAAAUCCCGAAGCUCAACUUCGGAAUAGCAUUUGAAACUACAAGUCUAGAGGGUAGGCGGAGAAAGUAGAAUUCCACAAGUAGCGGUGGAAUGCGUAGAUAUGUGGAAGAAUACCAGUGGCGAAGGCGACUUUCUAGCUUAUACCUGACGCUGAGGCGCGAAAGCAAGGGGAUCAAACAGG
Molecule: ribosomal RNA, 253 nt
Filed under: uncultured bacterium
Lineage: Bacteria
Description: partial 16S ribosomal RNA
Rfam family: Bacterial small subunit ribosomal RNA
Source: RNAcentral